UACGUAGGGGCCGAGCGUUGUCCGGAGUUAUUGGGCGUAAAGCGCGCGCAGGCGGCUUCGCGCGCCCGACGUGAAAGCCCCCGGCUUAACCGGGGAGAGUCGUUGGGGACGGCGGAGCUUGAGGGCGGGAGAGGGCGGUGGAAUUCCCGGUGUAGUGGUGAAAUGCGUAGAGAUCGGGAGGAACACCUGUGGCGAAGGCGGCCGCCUGGGCCGACCCUGACGCUGAGGCGCGAAGGCGUGGGGAGCGAACGGG
This 253-nucleotide ribosomal RNA is filed under the name uncultured bacterium. Its description in RNAcentral is "partial 16S ribosomal RNA". It matches the Rfam family "Bacterial small subunit ribosomal RNA", at positions 524 to 776 of the family's 1533-position model. The record is from RNAcentral.